RNAcentral lists this long non-coding RNA (849 nucleotides) under Pan troglodytes (chimpanzee). Its description in RNAcentral is "long non-coding RNA NONPTRT007467". Lineage: Eukaryota; Metazoa; Chordata; Mammalia; Primates; Hominidae. The record is from RNAcentral.
ACCCCCCAACAGGCACCAGUGUGUGAUGUUCCCCUCCUGAAAAGGGAGGUAACAUUUUAAUUUAGAAAGGAAAGUAACAUUGAUUUAGUGCUCACCAUAUGCCAAACUUUAUACUUUGAUGAUUCUUAAUAUCAGUGUUUGGCUGUUUUACCCUUAUUUAUAACUUUAAACUGCUGACCCAACCUAAUAAAUCUUAAAAUUUAUAAAAUAAAUAUUAAGUAAUCAGGAUACUACCACUAUCCACAACUCACUCUGUAUAACUUGUCUGGAUUUGUACUCAGGCUUAUCUCCAUGGUUCUGCAUGCUUAGAACCUAGUUCCAUAAUCUAAACUUUUUUUUUUUUUACUUCAAGCUCUGCCUCCUGGGUUCACGCCAUUCUCCUGCCUCAGCCUCCCGAGUAGCUGGGACUACAGGCGCCUGCCACCACGCCCGAAAUAUUCUAUCACUUCUCCACUGUUCUGAAGGAAAUUAAGUAUUUGGUAUUGAAUUAGUGGUUAAUGAAAAUUUAAGGUCCACUGAAACAUUAUGUCCUUUCAUUAGAUCAUUACCUAGUCAUUUUGGUAUUGAUUACUAUGGUGUUCAUUGAUAAUCCAAUUGUCUUGUUUUAUUAAUUUGUUAAGAGGUGUUAGGAAGGCUUUAGAGACAAAAAUUUCUUAGUACAUAAGCGAUUUUUGUUUUCUAAAGUGCAUGAUGUAUAAUUAGUACCUAAUAUUUCUACUGAAUCCUGUUUUUGCUUCAUAAGAAAGUAGCUACUUUCCCCUCUUCUUCACAUUUUUCUUUUUUUUUUUUUUUUUUUUGAGACGGAGUCUCGCUCUGUCGCCCAGGCUGGAGUGCAGUGGCGCGAUCUCG